CAGAAGACAGCGAAAGCAGCAAGAACAAAACAGGUAGGGGGAGCAAGCCUCCUGUCUUCCUCCCGUCUGUUGUGAGCUACCACCCCACAGGGCAGGUGUAGCGUUCACACUGUCUCCCUGCCCUCCUCUUGCACAAGAUGAGGAUGUUUAUAAAGCGAGGAUCCCGGCCCCAUGAUGAGUCACUUAGUUAAACUUCUGAACUUUCAAGUUGCCACAGUGUAUCAACCAUUAUACACCUCAAAGUUCUGCCCUGGAGCCAGCUAACUGUGGACUCAAAUCUCCCCAAACUGUGAGCCAAACUAAACCUCUCUUCCCUUAAAUUGUGGGUGUUGGGUGUUGGUGCUGGCAACUAGGAAAGUGACUCAGACAGUUGCUGAGUAUCUGGUGGUGUCUGGUGGCACGGUAGGAGGAUGCAGGGCUCUCCUGCCCCUCACCCUUACAGAUAGAGGCCCUGGUUACCUUGGGAAAUGGUGGAGAGGACAGGGUGAAGACCUGGCUUUUCUUCUGGGCUGCACACAAUGUAGACUGAGUCCUACAUUGAAAAUACUUUACUGUCCUUCAUUUAGACCAGAGAGGGAUUUUGCUGGACUGCUGUUUUUCCAUGCCAUUUUUAAACUGCAGGUGUGAUACUCAAAGAGUUGGGCCAGGUGCAGCCAAUGCAGAGAUGCCAUCCACCCUUUCUGGAAAGUUCACUGCCUGAGUAUCUGCUAAACAGUGACCUUUCACAGUUCAAUAUAUUUGUUUAAUAUAAAAGGAGUAUUCAGCAAAAGAAUAAUAGUCAAUGAUAAUGCUUCUUCAAAAGAGGAUCAGUGUCCUGUCUUUCCCCUAAGUGUGGGCAUCUUGGUCAACUCUUCCAAACCCCUUUCUGAAACUCAAAGCUGCUCAGCUGCUUGUUGUUUUUUAUCCAACCACGGGAGUCACCUCGAUCCAGACUGUCUGGCAGAGAAGACAAAGUACUAUUUCCCCAUCUUGAGAUCUCUUCUUGGGUCUGAGAGUGGCCACGACACAGUGAUUAGCAGGAGAAAGGCACAGGCUUCACACGCAGGUUAGAGCCCUGUUGGAACAUGUGGACCUGGAGCUCACAAAACCUGAACACAUCCCUCUACCCUGGAUCAGCGAAUGGCGCUGACUCAUGGGCAGAGGCUGGGUCCUGCCUGUUCCAGUCUGGCAGGGGUGCAUGCACCACGCUGCUUCAGCGAGCAAGCUAACCCAGUCUGGGCAGCAACGACCCGCACACACCCCUGCCGCACUGGAAGAGCCAGGCCCCAGCAUCUUGCAGGGCUCGGGCUAGCAAACAGGAAGUAGCACCCCACACACUCCCCAGCACCUCCACCUCGCCAUAGGAGACCAUCUUAUCAGGAGAAACACAGGCUGUGAUGAUAACUAUGAAGGUAAGAUGCAACUGGAUGUCUGUGGUGCUUUGGCGUUUCACUAACACUGCAGGUCUAGGGCCAGUGGUCUGACCAUGGGUUCAGAGGCUAGUGGUAUGCAGUGUGGCAUCUAGGGCGAUCUCCUGCUGAGGGCUGCAGCCGUUAGUGAUUCCCUAUGGUCUUGUUUUAGGAAUCCUAGAUCAUUUGCAUUGUUUUGCUGGGUUGGGUUUUAUUCUCUUUUGUUUUGCUUAUGUUAAAUCUGAUGGCAGGAGCAGCUAUUUCAAUGAUAGCAAGAUAUAUUAUGGUAGCAAUUUUGGAUUUACUAUUGGCUUGUUUUGAAGUCCUUUAUUACAUUCUUUGUUUUGUUUUUAUUUUUUUCUAUUCUAUUCGGUUUUGUUUCAUUUUUAUCAUGUCCAAAGUUAUCUGCAGCUGUCUUGAAGACAUCAAAAGGCAUUAUGGUAAUUAUUGUUGAUUUGGUAAUGUUUUUAGGCCUGUAUUUCUUACACUGGUUUGUUUUGAUUGGUUUUAUUCUGUUUUACCCUCUUUAAAAUUAAAACCAGAAUACAUCCUUCAGAGCCCAGCAGCCGGGUGGAGAGCAGCACAGAGCCAGAUACCUGGGGCGCUGAGCGGAUGACCCCCAUCCUGACAUGGUCAGUGUGUCUUUUGCACCGACUGUUUCCAAGGACCUUCAGUUCAAAAUAAUCCUCAAGCCCAAAGGCCACAUUUCAGGGUGACAUAUUUUGGGAAGCCUUUUAUUUUCUUAUUUGGUGUUUAGUUUUAAGGGAAAAAAUAUUUUGGAGGGCAAGAUGGGCACAGAAGCCUCAAGAAUCAAACACUUCUACUGUGGUGUCAAAGGGAGCGCCCCAUUCCUGUGCCCUUCUCCAGACCUGUUUGGAGGCUCCAUGACUCUCUGGUCCAUCCCUGAGCUGCUUACCAGAGAAAGGGGUUGGGGCUGUUGGGACUGGCGGAUGGGGCAGUCCCAGUUUGUCCGUGGGCUGGACAGCCCAGAUUCCUUGCAGAGAAGUGGAUACAGCUUAGUGGCCUACCAAGGGCAAGCAAGGCUGUGAGGUGGACAAGCUAGAGUAUCUUCAGAAGCAACUUUUUUGGGCAGAUUAGUGAUGCAUUUUGGCAAAAUUUAUUUUUCUUCUUACAGUAAAAAAAUCUCACAACCCAGUAUUCUUAUUUUUCUUUACUAGCUUGCUCACAGACUCGUUGUUCAUAGAUACAGUAAACAUUUUUGCUUUUGUUUUCAUGAGUCAGGAUCUCGCUAUGGCAAUCCUCUUGCCUCAGCCUCCUGAGUCCUGGGAUUACGGGAAUGUGCUGCCACACCCAACAAAACACUGUAAAAGUGAGUGAGUGUAUAGAAUUGGCUUUAUUGUUGUAACAUUUUAUUAAGGUGGAUGUGGUUUUAGAAUUAUUACUUAAAAUUUCAGCACCUACAAACCAAGGAGGGUAAAGGAAAGUUUACAGAGUGUACUUCUCUGCUUCAAAUUGUGCUAUCUGCAGCAUCCAAAGCCCUGUUUCUUUAGGUGUGUCCUAUAAAGUGGGUGAAUUGUGUGUGAUGAAAAGGAUUCCAAAAAUGAAAAGGCCGUGUUACAGGCCAUAGAGGAUCCUCUAAAAUUCCGGCGUGAAGCACUGGAUGAAGGCGCCUCUCACAAGUAUUUAAGAUUUGGCGUCCUGUAGAAAAGGUGGGGGUGCUUGCAGUGACUUCAGGGUGGAUGCAGGAAGAAGGUGCUGUCUACCAGCCCAAGGCAGAGGCCAGAGAAGCCACCAUAUCUGCUGGCACCUUGGUCUUGGACUUCUGCUCUCCAGAGCAGAGAGAAUCAAGUUCUGCGAAGUCUGCCAUGCAGUGGCACUUCUCUCUGGUGCCCUGGCAAGCUGACAAGGGAGUAACAGGUGCCUUUUUUUCAGAGAUCCCUAGGGAAGUCAGGGAUGUGAGGAGUCCUUCGUGCUCUCUGCAAAGAACCCAGGCUGUCCAGCCCAUGACAAACUGUGAUUGCCAGUCCUAAGCGAAGAAGUACAAAACUGUAAACUCACUGGAGGUAGGGCGGGUCUCUUUGCAAAAAUCAAGAAACUGGGUCUUAAAGAAGAUAAAGAACUUCUGUGUGGAAGAACUGGGAAUCAACUCAGUCUGAAUAUUUAUAAAAUUUUAGUAAACAUGAAUCUCACUGAAUUUUCUUCCUGUUUGCCAGGCACUGCAUGCUAAAUGCCUGACAUGAAUCAGCUUCUUUAUCCUCAGAAUGACAUUCGGACAUGUGUACUAUUAUUUUUCUCUGGAUGGCAGUAAAAGUUCCCAGAUUUGAAGUCAAUUCCCCAAGAUCACACAGGCGCCAAGGGAUGGAGUUGCAGUCGAAGCCCAGAUAAUCGGACUCUGGAGAAUACUGUAUUAUCCAUCAUAGUGCACGGCGACCCGUUGAAGGAUGAGGCGGUCAUGUCACUUUUGGGUCCACAUCAUCCCGAGGCUGCUUCCAGCCUCACUGGAACAGUGGUCACAGCUGAGGACAGUGGAGUGUGCGGGAAGACGCGAAUCUAGGAAAGAAAUUAGAUGGCACCUCUUCAGAACUUGUGCAAGAUGUCAGGAGCUCUCAGGACCCUCACAGGCUGCUUUCUGCCCUGGUCUGCCGUCGCCUUUCUUCCUGGGACACCAGCAGAACCUUGAGAGACCUGUGUGGCCCCAUGUGCUGUGUGCUGACCCCUGGUGAGCUCCAGAGGAGGAGGAAAGGAAAAGGGGAUCAAAGUCACUCAAUUGACCCCUCCAACAGGCUUAGGAGGGUGACACAGAGCACCAGUUUCCUGGGUGAAUUCAGCUUCAAAUGAUUUACUGAAAAUCACAUUCCUUGGAUGUAAGUUCUUAUGAGAGAGUGCAUAGGCAGGACUUUAAUUUUUUUAAACAGUCCAGAGGCAAAGAGAAAGGAUUUCAUCAAACCCAUGGCUGGACAAAGAGGAAAGGAAAAUUAAAACAUUUAAUAGUACUGACUCCUCCUGGUAAAGAUGGUGGAUAGAUAACAGCAGGCUACAGAGGCUCCCUGAGAUAGUCAACUUAGAAUUCAUCCUGGUUUGAUUACUACCUGUUUUUGUGGUUCUAUACUACCUACAAAGUUGUAUUUCUAUUGAUAGUUUUAUGUACUGAUAUAUGCAAUUAUACUUUAUCCGAUGAUAUAGCCAAUUCUAUUGAUGAUAACAAGAUACAACUCAGUAAUCAUGGUAGAACUCCUUAUACAGCAGUCUUAUAUGUCUUUUUAGUUUUAAGUGUCUAUAGGAAUAUGUUUUGUAUUAUCCUGCUUUGUUCUGUUUCUCCCUCUAAUAUAAAAAGGAUAGAAAUACAUGUUAAGACUUAUACUUGCGUAAAACCUAUAAACAGUUUACGAGAACUGAUCUUAUGACACAUGAUGAAAUGAACAAAUACAUUGAAGGAAAAAAAGGCACUACAGAACCCAAAGCUGAUUCCGAGUGUCAUGAUGUGAAAUCCAGCAAUACUACUAUUCUUUGUUCAGAGUGAUUUUAGUCUGCUUUGGUUUGUUUAAUCUCAACAUUAAUGAAGAUACGGAUAAAUGUAUGUUUAAAUGUACAGGAUUGAUACCCAUAUUACUAAGAUUUUAUUAAAUAGUUGAACAGAACUAUUUGCAGUCUUCUUGUUUGAAUUUCCAUCUCUAUGUUCCACUUUUGUAUCUUGAACAAUUAUUUGUAAGAGGACAAUAUGUAAACAUCAGCUAGUGAUUUAUUACUGUUUAUUUCUUUUUCUUUGAAAGUAUGUACUAUUUCUACCCGUUUUCUGUUUUGUAUUGUCUUUCUUUAAAUAAAAUUUUUAAAAAAUGUUCCUUGAUUAAAAAAAAAAAAUUAGUACUGACUCCUCACUUUUCCCGAAAUCUGCAAGCAGUUUCUCUCUGACAAUGACUCCUUUCUCCUCCUUUACUUCCCAAAAGCCUGAAGCACAAAGCAUGGGACUUUCAGGACAGUGCUGUUUGAUGCCUGUUGGUUUCCCUCCUUUCUCUGCCUGCCUCUGCCCCCUGGGGAGCCCCUUCAUGGGGUGUUGAGAGGCUGGGAGGGGCGGCAAGUCCAGGGUGGUCUCCUGCGUUGUCCCGAUUCCCAGCUGGAAGCCAGAGCGGGCUGCCUAGGUGUCCUGCAGCUCUGGGAGCCCCUUCAAUGCUGCGGUUGGAUUGGGUGACACUGAUAGGCCAGGAUGGAUAAAUUCCUGGCUUGUGCCACACUGACUGUGAUGCUGGCUGGCAGGAGAAGCAGCAGGACCGGCUGGUCCUGUCUUGAGGUGACCUUGUGGCAUGUCUGAGAGUAAAGCCAGGCACUGACGUCACGCCCAGUGCUAAGGGGUCCAUGCUAAGGGCAGUCCACGUGGCACAGUGUCCUCUUUGCACAGUGUUUUCCUCUCACUCUGAGUUCUGUGUGGCGAGCACAGUUCCCCGAGCCUGCUCCUAUGUUUUCCUCUGUGACUUCUGGUUAGAAUUGUUGCUUUUCUCCUCCCCGAGAAUGCAGAUUUCCCUGUCAGGUCAUACUCGCCCUUCUCUCUUGUGUUUCUGUUAAUCAUCACACAUUAAUGACUUUGUUCUUAGUUUUCUGGUCUUAGGAAUGCAAAUUCAUCUGAUUUUUCUGUAUUUUAGCACACUCACUGUUACGUAUAUGAAAUACUUUACAAACUGAUAAUACCUGGACUCAGGCAAAUGUAAUGAAUAGUAAUA
Molecule: long non-coding RNA, 6061 nt
Organism: Cavia porcellus (domestic guinea pig)
Lineage: Eukaryota; Metazoa; Chordata; Mammalia; Rodentia; Caviidae
Exons: 3
Source: RefSeq, a predicted model, not a curated record